UACGGAGGGUGCUAGCGUUGUUCGGAAUCACUGGGCGUAAAGCGCGUGUAGGCGGCCCAUCAAGUCUGAUGUGAAAGCCCGGGGCUCACCCCCGGAAGUGCAUUGGAAACUGUUGGGCUCGAGUCCCGGAGAGGAGGGUGGAAUUCCUGGUGUAGCGGUGAAAUACGUAGAUAUCAGGAGGAAUACCGGUGGCGAAGGCGGCUAUCUGGCCAUGUACUGACGCUGAGACACGAAAGCGUGGGGAGCAAACAGG
This 253-nucleotide ribosomal RNA is filed under the name uncultured bacterium. RNAcentral describes it as "partial 16S ribosomal RNA". It matches the Rfam family "Bacterial small subunit ribosomal RNA", at positions 524 to 776 of the family's 1533-position model. The record is from RNAcentral.